Molecule: ribosomal RNA, 460 nt
Filed under: uncultured bacterium
Lineage: Bacteria
Description: partial 16S ribosomal RNA
Rfam family: Bacterial small subunit ribosomal RNA
Source: RNAcentral
CCUACGGGGGGCAGCAGUGAGGAAUAUUGGUCAAUGGGCGCGAGCCUGAACCAGCCAAGUCGCGUGAGGGAGGACGGCCCUACGGGUUGUAAACCUCUUUUGCCGGGGAGCAACGGGCGCCACGUGUGGCGCCACUGAGAGUACCCGGAGAAAAAGCAUCGGCUAACUCCGUGCCAGCAACCGCGGUAAUACAGAGGAUGCGUGCGUUAUCCGGAUUUAUUGGGUUUAAAGGGUGCGUAGGCGGAUCGUUAAGUCAGUGGUCAAAUUGAGGGGCUCAACCCCUUCCCGCCAUUGAAACUGGCGAUCUUGAGUGGAAGAGAAGUAUGCGGAAUGCGUGGUGUAGCGGUGAAAUGCAUAGAUAUCACGCAGAACCCCGAUUGCGAAGGCAGCAUGCCGGCUUCCGACUGACGCUGAAGCACGAAAGCGUGGGGAUCGAACAGGAUUAGAUACCCUGGUAGUC